RNAcentral lists this long non-coding RNA (1325 nucleotides) under Pongo abelii (Sumatran orangutan). Its description in RNAcentral is "lincRNA". Lineage: Eukaryota; Metazoa; Chordata; Mammalia; Primates; Hominidae. The record is from RNAcentral.
GCGGCGCCGCGGGGCCUUAGCGGACGGAGGGGAGCGCGGGGGUCACCGGGGCCGGGCCGGGCCGGGAGCCCUAGAGCUCGGCCUGGCGGGGACCCGGGGCCAGCCCCGCACCUCCGUGGCCCUGGCGCCUCGUGCGUGUCCACGAGCUCGCGUGCGCGCGUUACCUCGGACCGCAGCAUGGCUUGGAGGGCGGCCCUACUCGCGCCGCCCUAGUGCUGCGAAGGGCCUCGGAGCCCAAACCCGGAACCGCCAUCUGGGACUGGGAAGACGACCUGGCGAGAAGUCGACUGGACAGCCUGCACCACCCCGUGAUUCAUGGAUGGCCAUAGCCCAGAGCAGGAGCAGAUUUGCUUCCAGUUUGCCCUUCCUCCUAGAGUUUUGCUCUUGUCGCCCAGGCUGCAGGGCAAUGGCACCAUCUCCACUCACAGCAACCUCCGCCUCCCAAGUUCAAGCAAUUCUCCUGCCUCAGCCUCCCAAGUAGCUGGGAUUAUAGGCGCACCCACCACCACGCCUGGCUAAUUUUUGGAUUUUUAGUAGAGACGGGGUUUCACCACGUUAGCCAGGCUGGUCUCAAACUCCUGCCUCAAUCUCCCAAAGUGCUGGGAUUACAGGUGUGAGCCACCACGCCCAGCUGUUUAAUCUCUUUUUAAUAAAAUAUUUCAUUGUUAUCAUUUGAUUCUCAUAGCACCAUUUGAAGUAUACGAGCGGUGUUAGUCCAAUUUUAACACACUUGCUCAAUUCGUGGAAAAUGAACAGCAGAGCUGUUCUCCAGAGAUGUUCAGAUCCGCAGCCCAGUGCUUUUUUCCAUAUGAUCUUUACCCACAACAGCUCCGACUCCAAUUUUUUGAGUUUAUACCUGGAUCCUACACCACCCUUCUCCAGCCCUUUGGUCCUUGACAUUGUUUCUUUAUUCAUCUGCACCAAGGACUGAGGCAGAAGUAACAAUCUGUUUCAACAACGUCUACAUUCAGAACAUACUAGAAGAUACAGCACACUACUUACACGGAUCAGCAAUUCAGCAAUGUUCUCCUUUCAUUUCAUUGCUUAGAGCAUAUGUUGGUGGGAAGCUUGUUUGGUCAUAAAAAGAACUGCCGAGCACAGGUACGCUAUGGCCCUGCAGGUUCCUGGGGAGAGGCAACACAUCUUCUUUGGAGAGGACAGAUAAAUAUGUCCCCUCUGACACAACUACACAGACCCCUUUCCAAGCUCUGCAGCCAUCCUCCCCACCUAAUGAAAUAAAAUGUAGAUUUCUGUUGUUUAAUUGCACUUGAUAAAUCUUUUUUUUCUUUCAACCACUUUGAAUAAACUUAUAUAUUGUCAAUAAA